RNAcentral lists this ribosomal RNA (692 nucleotides) under uncultured bacterium. RNAcentral's name for it is "bacterial SSU rRNA". It matches the Rfam family "Bacterial small subunit ribosomal RNA", at positions 94 to 820 of the family's 1533-position model. The record is from RNAcentral.
AGUGGCGGACGGGUGAGUAACGCGUGGGAACCUGCCCUCAGGAGGGGGAUAACGGCUGGAAACGGCCGCUAAUACCCCAUAUGCCGAGAGGUGAAAAGAAUUUCGCCUGAGGAUGGGCCCGCGUCUGAUUAGCUAGUUGGUGGGGUAAGAGCCUACCAAGGCGACGACCAGUAGCUGGUCUGAGAGGAUGAUCAGCCACACUGGGACUGAGACACGGCCCAGACUCCUACGGGAGGCAGCAGUGGGGAAUUUUCCGCAAUGGGCGAAAGCCUGACGGAGCAACGCCGCGUGAGGGAUGAAGGCCUCUGGGCUGUAAACCUCUUUUCUCAAGGAAGAAGAACUGACGGUACUUGAGGAAUAAGCCACGGCUAAUUCCGUGCCAGCAGCCGCGGUAAUACGGGAGUGGCAAGCGUUAUCCGGAAUUAUUGGGCGUAAAGCGUCCGCAGGCGGCCUUGUAAGUCUGUCGUUAAAGCGUGGAGCUUAACUCCAUUUCAGCGAUGGAAACUACAAGGCUUGAGUGUGGUAGGGGCAGAGGGAAUUCCCGGCGUAGCGGUGAAAUGCGUAGAUAUCGGGAAGAACACCAGUGGCGAAGGCGCUCUGCUGGGCCAUAACUGACGCUCAUGGACGAAAGCCAGGGGAGCGAAAGGGAUUAGAUACCCCUGUAGUCCUGGCCGUAAACGAUGAACACUAGG